ACUCUCCUCGAUUUUUCAGUUUCCCUCUCACCCUAGUCUCUCUCGUUGGCUGUGAGUUCAAAUUCCCUUUGAAAUCGUUCUUCAAAUAUCAUUAUCAACAGGUGGUUCACUUUGGUUUCUGCAGUUCUCUCCACAGAAUCAGUUCCUACUCUUGAGAUGGUACGCUGGUGUUGCUGCGGUUUGUUCCACGAAUCCGCUAUUUAACUGAGGUCUGUGCUCAUGCUAUUCGUGUUCUCGAAAGAGCUGAUGAUGAAGAGCUCCAAUGUUAUUUACUUCAACUGGUUCAAGAUAUGCGGUUUGAACGCUCAAAUAAAUCUCGUCUUUCUCAGUUUCUCGUGUAGCGUCGUAUGCCAGCUCACUAACGAACAUUGAGUUUGCUAGCUUCCUUAGAUGGUAUGUUGCUGUCGAACUUCAGGAUCCUGCAUACGCGAAAUGUUUUUAUUGUACGUACGGGAUGCUGGAAGAAAAUAUGAUAAAGUUGGGAAUUGACAGUGGAGAUGGCUUUAAGUCUCGUUCGCCAGACCGAAUUGACAGCUCAGCUGUGUUCCAUAAUGCGAGACGUAAGAAACGUACGAGGCGGAACUCAAAAGAAAAUUGAAAAGCUUCGGCAUCUUCUUUCGGGACUUCUUAGUGAACUUACAUACUUUGUGGAGCCUAUACGAUCGCCUUUGGCUCUAAAGAUGAAGUUAUUAAAAUCAAAUCUGGUAGGUUGAGAAGGCUUAUGCUGGAGGCUGUUACGUUUGGUUCAUGUUGUGGGAUGUUGAGAGCUACGUGGGUUCCAAGAUCAGGUCCAGAUGAUGAUAGCGGAGUCUUCAUGAGAGGCAUGAUGGAGUGGACACAUGUAUGGAUGGUGGGAUUGCAUGCCUAGGAUCGAACACUACAUAUGAUAACAAGGCAUUUUGUAUUACAAAGAAUAUGAAGAUGUCUAUUGUUUUAUUAGUGACACUGAUAAUUGUGUGAUUUAUUUUAUAUUGUAAAUAAAUAACAGUUUUAAGUAAUCAAAUUAAUUUGAUGAACA
Long non-coding RNA from Helianthus annuus (common sunflower), 1018 nucleotides. RefSeq lists it as uncharacterized. The record is from RefSeq and is a predicted model, not a curated record. Lineage: Eukaryota; Viridiplantae; Streptophyta; Magnoliopsida; Asterales; Asteraceae. The transcript is spliced from 7 exons.